UGGUCACCUUAAGCUCUGUCCCCA
Molecule: non-coding RNA, 24 nt
Filed under: Rattus norvegicus (Norway rat)
Lineage: Eukaryota; Metazoa; Chordata; Mammalia; Rodentia; Muridae
Source: RNAcentral